Molecule: transfer RNA, 73 nt
Filed under: Friedmanniomyces endolithicus
Lineage: Eukaryota; Fungi; Ascomycota; Dothideomycetes; Mycosphaerellales; Teratosphaeriaceae
Description: tRNA-Phe
Rfam family: tRNA
About the family: Transfer RNA (tRNA) molecules are approximately 80 nucleotides in length. Their secondary structure includes four short double-helical elements and three loops (D, anti-codon, and T loops).
Source: RNAcentral
GCCUCGAUAGCUCAGUUGGGAGAGCGUAAGACUGAAGAUCUUAAGGUCACUGGUUCGAUCCCGGUUCGAGGCA